GCUGAGGAGCAGGGGGAGUAGAGGGUGGACAAGUUUGAGCUUCCGGAGCAAGAUGCAGGACCCCAAUGCAGACACUGAGUGGAAUGACAUCUUACGCAAAAAGGGCAUCUUGCCCUCCAAGGAAAGCUCAGAAGAAUUGGAAAAGGAAGCAGAAGAGGAAGAGCAGCGAGUCCUUCAACAGUCAAUUGUGAAAACGUAUGAAGAUAUGACUUUGGAAGAGCUGGAGGAUAAUGAAGAUGAAUUUAAUGAGGAUGAUGAACGUGCUAUUGAAAUGUACAGGCAACAAAGACUGGCUGAGUGGAAAGCAACUAAACUGAAGAAUAAAUUUGGAGAAGUUUUAGAGAUCUCAGGAAAGGAUUACGUUCAAGGAGUUACCAAAGCUGGUGAAGGCUUGUGGGUAAUUUUGCACCUUUAUAAACAAGGAAUUCCCCUCUGUGCCCUAAUAAACCAACACUUCAGUGGACUUGCAAGGAAGUUUCCUGAUGUUAAAUUUAUCAAAGCCAUUUCAACAACCUGCAUACCCAAUUAUCCUGAUAAGAAUCUGCCCACAAUAUUUGUUUAUCUUGAAGGAGAUAUCAAGGCUCAGUUUAUUGGUCCUCUAGUGUUUGGUGGGAUGAACCUGACAAGAGAUGAGUUGGAGUGGAAAUUGUCUGAAUCUGGAGCAAUCAAGACAGACCUGGAGGAAAACCCCAAGAAACCAGUAGAAGAUGCAUUACUGUCUCAGUGCGGUCCUCAGUCCCUGUGAGGAAAGACAGUGAUUCUGAGGAUGACUGAGGCUUCAACAGACAAAACCUGCUGAAUUUUCUUGAUGUGACAAAUCACCUGGAUUUUUAAAAUUAGAAAAAG
This is a non-coding RNA of Orycteropus afer afer, 846 nucleotides long. The record is from RefSeq and is a predicted model, not a curated record. NCBI's taxonomy places the organism in Eukaryota, Metazoa, Chordata, Mammalia, Tubulidentata, Orycteropodidae.